This 1265-nucleotide long non-coding RNA is filed under the name Mytilus galloprovincialis (Mediterranean mussel). The record is from RNAcentral. Lineage: Eukaryota; Metazoa; Mollusca; Bivalvia; Mytilida; Mytilidae.
AAGACAGUACUCUAUGGACUGAUAAACCAAAGGCAAAUAAACUCUGGGUGAACAUGUUAUUAGGGUUAACAGACGGGCUACCAACUGGUUUAGUGGCAAAAAUUCUUGAAAGCUCACGAGGCCACAUGUAGACAGUUUUUAAUUCUUUUUUAUUGAGCCUUAUAUAUUUUCACUUCUAUAAACCAAGAUGUACAAAAAUACCAAAGUUUUGUAAACAGUAUCAGUACCAUAAAUGCUUUUUUUGUACUAACAUAAAUUAUUUUACGUAUUUUUUUAUAUUCUGUAACUUUGUGUUCAACGUGUCUAAAUGUCCUAUUAUAUUAUUUAUUUUUGCAUUUCUCUGUCCUUGUUCUUGCAUUUAUUUGUACUGUUUUCCUGUCAUGUAAUGUUGUCAUUUUAGGUGUAACACCACUAAUUCAGGCCCGGCAGAAGAACAUACCAAAAGUAUAAUAUUUAACACAAAAUAGUUUCCUACGCAUGUAACUUCAAAAUAUUAAGAGUUUUCAUAAUUUUGGUAUCAAUGAAAGCUGCAUGACUGUAUCAUUGUUUUCUGAUAAUUUAAUAAUAAAAAAAUUCAUGAAAUUUAAAAAAGGAAGGGUACAUUUUCUUUUUGUCAGCGGAAGUACCUGUUUUGGUACAUCGAAGCUCUGGGAACCAGUUUCUUAUUGCAUGUAAGGUUGUUAUUUUUUCAGUACAGGACGCCAGAAAGUGUUGUUUUCAUGCAAUGAUUGUCACUUUAUUUGAACUUAAGAUAAAAGAGCUGUGACCACUCGAAAUUGAGGAAUUUAACAUAGAAAGCAAUGGGGCCAUUAAUUAGUGGUGUACUUCCUUUAGGGGUAUUUACAUUGCCUUGAACAUGUGUAAGUAUAAAGUUUGGCUAGCCACAAGACAAAUUUCAACCUACAAUUUUUUCCUAUAAUUAAUGUCCUUUACCAAGUCAGGAAUAUGGCAGUUGUUAUCUAAUAGUUUGUUUCUUCGUAAAUAUUGCAUUGUCGUUUGUUUUUUAUUGCACUUCAGUGUUUCUGUUGUUUUCCUUUUAUCAUGCUUAUACAAUGUAGUUGAUGUGUUUCCCUCGGUUUUAGUUUGUAACCUCAGAUUCAUGUGUCUCAUUCGAUUUAUGACUUUAGUUUUAAACAGCAGUAUACUUCGAUUCUGUUGCCUUUGUUUUAAAUUAUGGACAUAUCAUAUAAUUAUCAAUUAUACUUCAUAUCAACACCUGUAAAUAAGUAAUUUUCACGUUUGAAACAGAAUAUAUAGCAAAAUCU